UACAGAGGUGGCAAGCGUUGUUCGGAAUUACUGGGCGUAAAGGGCGCGUAGGCGGUUCGUUAAGUCCUGUGUGAAAUCCCCCGGCUCAACUGGGGAACUGCACAGGAAACUAGCGGGCUUGAGUUCGGGAGAGGGAAGCGGAAUUCCGGGUGUAGCGGUGAAAUGCGUAGAUAUCCGGAGGAACACCGGUGGCGAAGGCGGCUUCCUGGGCCGUCACUGACGCUGAGGCGCGAAAGCUAGGGGAGCAAACAGG
RNAcentral lists this ribosomal RNA (253 nucleotides) under uncultured bacterium. Its description in RNAcentral is "partial 16S ribosomal RNA". It matches the Rfam family "Bacterial small subunit ribosomal RNA", at positions 524 to 776 of the family's 1533-position model. The record is from RNAcentral.